CCGUUUUUAGUUGGUGGAUUGAUUUGUCUGGUUAAUUCCGAAAACGAACGAGACCUUAACCUGUUAACUAUGUGAUGUUAAAAUUCGACUUCGGUCUCAAUAUUUGAUAUUAAAAAUUUAAUACUUCUUAAAGGAACAAUUCAAACUUUAAUUGAAUGGAAGUUUAAGGCAAAAACAGGUCUGUGAUGCCCCUUCGAUGUUCUGGGCUGCACGCGCGUUACACUGAUAUGUUCAAUGAGUUUUUAAAUUUCCUAGUCUGAAAAGACGUGGUAAACUUAGAAAAACAUAUCGUGAUUGGAAUAGUAUUUUGUAAUUAUCGCACUUUGAACGAGGAAUUCCUAGUAGGGGCGAAUUCAUCAAAUUAGCCCCGACUUACGUCCCCGCCCUUUGUACACACCGCCCGUCCGCUUCUACCGAUUGAAUAAUGCGAUGAGGA
RNAcentral lists this ribosomal RNA (436 nucleotides) under uncultured eukaryote. RNAcentral's name for it is "bacterial SSU rRNA". It matches the Rfam family "Eukaryotic small subunit ribosomal RNA", at positions 1288 to 1707 of the family's 1831-position model. The record is from RNAcentral.